AUUGAACGCUGGCGGCAUGCCUAACACAUGCAAGUCGAACGGCAGCACGUUGUGUAGCAAUACACAUGGGUGGCGAGUAGCGGACGGGUGAGUAUAAAGUAGGAAUCUGCCUUAUAGAUUGGGACAACUUGGGGAAAGCUCGAGCUAAUACCGGAUAAGCACUACGGUGGAAAGUAUGGGACCGAAAGGCCAUACGCUAUAAGAUGAGCCUACGUCGGAUUAGUUAGUUGGUUAGGUAAAGGCUGACCAAGACAAAGAUCCGUAGCUGGUCUGAGAGGAUGAUCAGCCACACUGGGACUGAGACACGGCCCAGACUCCUACGGGAGGCAGCAGUGGGGAACUAUUGGACAAUGGGGAAACCCGUCGAUCCAGCGAUGCCGCGUGUGCGAGAAGG
Molecule: ribosomal RNA, 394 nt
Filed under: uncultured bacterium
Lineage: Bacteria
Description: bacterial SSU rRNA
Rfam family: Bacterial small subunit ribosomal RNA
Source: RNAcentral